This 97-nucleotide signal recognition particle RNA is filed under the name Deltaproteobacteria bacterium RIFOXYA12_FULL_58_15. Its description in RNAcentral is "signal recognition particle sRNA small type". It matches the Rfam family "Bacterial small signal recognition particle RNA". Rfam says of the family: The signal recognition particle (SRP) is a universally conserved ribonucleoprotein involved in the co-translational targeting of proteins to membranes. Archaeal SRP consists of a 7S RNA and homologues of the eukaryotic SRP19 and SRP54 proteins. RNAcentral also lists the same sequence under 1 other name. Lineage: Bacteria; Deltaproteobacteria. The record is from RNAcentral.
UAGCCCGACCCCGGCGACUGGGGCGCGUUAAAUCCGCCAGGUCCGGAAGGAAGCAACGGUAGCGUUUGCCUCAGGGUGUCGGAUCGUCGGGCUAUCA